This 74-nucleotide transfer RNA is filed under the name Coleofasciculus sp. FACHB-1120. Its description in RNAcentral is "tRNA-Cys". It matches the Rfam family "tRNA". Rfam says of the family: Transfer RNA (tRNA) molecules are approximately 80 nucleotides in length. Their secondary structure includes four short double-helical elements and three loops (D, anti-codon, and T loops). RNAcentral also lists the same sequence under 3 other names. The record is from RNAcentral. Lineage: Bacteria; Bacillati; Cyanobacteriota; Cyanophyceae; Coleofasciculales; Coleofasciculaceae.
GGUCGAGUAGCCAAGAGGCUUAAGGCGUCUCUCUGCAAAAGAGAAAUUCGUGGGUUCAAAUCCCACCUCGACCU